GUUAAUGUGGUUGUCUGCCUCAUUAUACAUAUAAAGGCUCAAAACAAUCACAAAAUAGUAAGAAAGGCAGUGGAGUUUAGGCAAGAUUAGCUCCAGGCAUUCUAGUAAAAUGAAUAGGAGUUUAUUGUACCAGGAGAUGAAAACCAGUGAGGUAGAUUUGAGGUGCUGGAUGCCAGGGUAACAAAAGCAAAAUGCAAGGAACCAAUAAAACUGUGUAAGCUGCAUGAGUCAAAAGCAAAAUAGGAUGGAUCUCUAAGGGCAGUGAAGUGGCAUAAAUAACAUUAAGCCUGUUUUCCAAUGGAGCUGUGACCAUUUGCUGGCACUAAUGCUCUUCUAAGUUUUGGGCAGCAGCCUUAUUGCCUGUGCUGUAACUGUGGGUUAGCAGGGCUGAACCAGCUCUGGCCUUGUGUGUCUGCUGAGGUGCUGUGGCAACCAGGGAUACAAUAGGCUGUUCUACAUGUUAAUCACUAUUCCAUGAUGAUUUUUGCAGCCAUUUUGAUGGGAUGCAGAACCAGCUGAAGAUUUUUUCACUUCCAGCUGAUCAGUGUGGUGUGGCUUCAAGGACAACUUCGUCAGUAGGAAGAAGGGAACGAAAGGACACCAACGCUUUCUGAAAUAGAGCAGAAAAUUGAGGUCAUUUUCUUCUUCCAAUCCUGUCCUCCUCAACACUGCACACUCAAAUGAGCAGAAGUGUUCACAUUUCCGGAACCUGGUCAGGUUUCUAUUGUCAGUGAGUCAGCUUCAGAAAGAGGACAGAGACACUCUACUGCCUACAAUAAGAGCUCGCAGCCAGAAGUCCCCAGUGCUGUGCCUGUACAAGCCCAGGAGGAGAUGGUUGUCCUCAGGUGCCUGCCCUGGCCCUGCCCUAUGCUGUCCCCAGGAGACCAGGUUAAGCAUUACUCAGAUUGCCUGAUUAGGAGGAAAACAACAGUCCAUUUGAAUUCUAGUUAAUACAUACAACAAAAUCCCUGAGCAGAAGAGCAGGGAAGGAAGAUGACACACAUGAAGUUAGACUGCAGUGCUCUCCUCAAAGGACCAGAAGGGAGUUCAAAAUUUAUUUUCUUGCUUUUGUUUAUACUCACUGGCUUCCUGAGAUAAGAGAAAUACAAAAUAAAGAAUGAAAAUUGCUGACCA
Molecule: long non-coding RNA, 1134 nt
Filed under: Coturnix japonica (Japanese quail)
Lineage: Eukaryota; Metazoa; Chordata; Aves; Galliformes; Phasianidae
Description: lncRNA (ENSCJPG00005011689.1)
Source: RNAcentral